UAGUCCACGCCGUAAACGAUGAAUGCCAGCUGUCGGGGGGCAUGCCCUUCGGUGGCGCAGCUAACGCUUUAAGCAUUCCGCCUGGGGAGUACGGCCGCAAGGUUAAAACUCAAAUGAAUUGACGGGGGCCCGCACAAGCGGUGGAGCAUGUGGUUUAAUUCGAUGCAACGCGAAGAACCUUACCUACUCUUGACAUCCAGAGAAGCUUGAAGAGAUUCGAGUGUGCCCUCGGGAACUCUGAGACAGGUGCUGCAUGGCUGUCGUCAGCUCGUGUUGUGAAAUGUUGGGUUAAGUCCCGCAACGAGCGCAACCCUUAUCCUUGUUUGCCAGCACGUAAUGGUGGGAACUCCAGGGAGACUGCCGGUGAUAAACCGGAGGAAGGUGGGGACGACGUCAAGUCAUCAUGGCCCUUACGAGUAGGGGCUACACACGUGCUACAAUGGCGUAUACAGAGGGCUGCCAACUCGCGAGAGUGAGCGAAU
RNAcentral lists this ribosomal RNA (482 nucleotides) under uncultured bacterium. RNAcentral describes it as "bacterial SSU rRNA". It matches the Rfam family "Bacterial small subunit ribosomal RNA", at positions 791 to 1272 of the family's 1533-position model. The record is from RNAcentral.